This 484-nucleotide ribosomal RNA is filed under the name uncultured bacterium. RNAcentral describes it as "partial 16S ribosomal RNA". It matches the Rfam family "Bacterial small subunit ribosomal RNA", at positions 30 to 507 of the family's 1533-position model. The record is from RNAcentral.
AUUGAACGCUGGCGGCAGGCCUAACACAUGCAAGUCGAGCGGAUGAAGGGAGCUUGCUCCUGGAUUCAGCGGCGGACGGGUGAGUAAUGCCUAGGAAUCUGCCUGGUAGUGGGGGAUAACGUCCGGAAACGGGCGCUAAUACCGCAUACGUCCUGAGGGAGAAGGUGGGGGAUCUUCGGACCUCACGCUAUCAGAUGAGCCUAGGUCGGAUUAGCUAGUUGGUGGGGUAAAGGCCUACCAAGGCGACGAUCCGUAACUGGUCUGAGAGGAUGAUCAGUCACACUGGAACUGAGACACGGUCCAGACUCCUACGGGAGGCAGCAGUGGGGAAUAUUGGACAAAGGGCGAAAGCCUGAUCCAGCCGUGCCGCGUGUGUGAAGAAGGUCUUCGGAUUGUAAAGCACUUUAAGUUGGGAGGAAGGGCAGUAAGUUAAUACCUUGCUGUUUUGACGUUACCAACAGAAUAAGCACCGGCUAACUUCGUG